GGAAAGCGGAGUUGAAGGCUAUUAUCACUGAUGUAAUAAAUAACAUGAGUGAUGAGGAAGAUGGUGAUGACUCUGAAGCUGAGAAAGAUGAAAAUAAUGAAGGCGGUGACCCUGAGGCUGAGAAUGAUGAAAAAAAUGAGGGUGAUGAUCCUGAGACUGAGAAUGAUGAAGAAAAAAUUGAAGGUGAUGACCCUGAGGCUGAGUGCGAUGAAGACAAAAAUGAAGUUGAUGAUAGUGAUGCUUAGUUUACGAGUCAAGUAGAAGGAUAGGUAUUAGGUGCU
RNAcentral lists this long non-coding RNA (281 nucleotides) under Capsicum annuum. Its description in RNAcentral is "long non-coding RNA (CANN_LNC009250)". Lineage: Eukaryota; Viridiplantae; Streptophyta; Magnoliopsida; Solanales; Solanaceae. The record is from RNAcentral.